UACGGAGGGUGCAAGCGUUAUCCGGAUUUACUGGGUUUAAAGGGUGCGUAGGUGGGUCUGUAAGUCAGUGGUGAGAUCUUCAAGCUUAACUUGGAAACUGCCAUUGAUACUAUAGGUCUUGAAUUAUCUGGAGGUAAGCGGAAUAUGUCAUGUAGCGGUGAAAUGCUUAGAUAUGACAUAGAACACCAAUUGCGAAGGCAGCUUACAACGGAUCGAUUGACACUGAGGCACGAAAGCGUGGGGAUCAAACAGG
RNAcentral lists this ribosomal RNA (253 nucleotides) under uncultured bacterium. RNAcentral describes it as "partial 16S ribosomal RNA". It matches the Rfam family "Bacterial small subunit ribosomal RNA", at positions 524 to 776 of the family's 1533-position model. The record is from RNAcentral.